RNAcentral lists this ribosomal RNA (624 nucleotides) under uncultured bacterium. RNAcentral's name for it is "bacterial SSU rRNA". It matches the Rfam family "Bacterial small subunit ribosomal RNA", at positions 173 to 797 of the family's 1533-position model. The record is from RNAcentral.
AAGCAGGGGCCCCGCAUGGGGAUAUUUGCUAAAGAUUCAUCGCUGAUAGAUAGGCAUGCGUUCCAUUAGGCAGUUGGCGGGGUAACGGCCCACCAAACCGACGAUGGAUAGGGGUUCUGAGAGGAAGGUCCCCCACAUUGGUACUGAGACACGGACCAAACUCCUACGGGAGGCAGCAGUGAGGAAUAUUGGUCAAUGGGCGUAAGCCUGAACCAGCCAAGUCGCGUGAGGGAUGAAGGUUCUAUGGAUCGUAAACCUCUUUUAUAAGGGAAUAAAGUGCGGGACGUGUCCCGUUUUGUAUGUACCUUAUGAAUAAGGAUCGGCUAACUCCGUGCCAGCAGCCGCGGUAAUACGGAGGAUCCGAGCGUUAUCCGGAUUUAUUGGGUUUAAAGGGUGCGUAGGCGGCCUUUUAAGUCAGCGGUGAAAGUCUGUGGCUCAACCAUAGAAUUGCCGUUGAAACUGGGGGGCUUGAGUAUGUUUGAGGCAGGCGGAAUGCGUGGUGUAGCGGUGAAAUGCUUAGAUAUCACGCAGAACCCCGAUUGCGAAGGCAGCCUGCCAAGCCAUGACUGACGCUGAUGCACGAAAGCGUGGGGAUCAAACAGGAUUAGAUACCCUGGUAGUCCA